RNAcentral lists this small RNA (629 nucleotides) under Pan troglodytes (chimpanzee). RNAcentral's name for it is "retained intron". Lineage: Eukaryota; Metazoa; Chordata; Mammalia; Primates; Hominidae. The record is from RNAcentral.
GAAGAAAUCCCAACACAAGUAUGUCAUCGGGCCCAAGGGCAAUUCAUUGCAGGAGAUCCUUGAGAGAACUGGAGUUUCCGUUGAGAUCCCACCCUCAGACAGCAUCUCUGAGACUGUAAUACUUCGAGGCGAACCUGAAAAGUUAGGUCAGGCGUUGACUGAAGUCUAUGCCAAGGUAACUGCCUCCGAGCAUGAAGUGUGUCUCCUUUGAGUGGAGUCCGCGGGGCCUUCAUGGAUGAGCUCUCAAUUUGUAAAUCCUGGGGCCUGGACACAGUGCAGGUGCCCAGGUUUGGGGAGAGCGUGCCUCUGAGCCUCAGAUGAGCAGCCUGUGACACGACCUUGAGCUCUGCAAACCCAUGGCUGUUCUCCCAUUUUCUUAGGCCAAUAGUUUCACCGUCUCCUCUGUCGCCGCCCCUUCCUGGCUUCACCGUUUCAUCAUUGGCAAGAAAGGGCAGAACCUGGCCAAAAUCACUCAGCAGAUGCCAAAGGUUCACAUCGAGUUCACAGAGGGCGAAGACAAGAUCACCCUGGAGGGCCCUACAGAGGAUGUCAAUGUGGCCCAGGAACAGAUAGAAGGCAUGGUCAAAGAUUUGAUUAACCGGAUGGACUAUGUGGAGAUCAACAUCGAC